Molecule: long non-coding RNA, 707 nt
Filed under: Capra hircus (goat)
Lineage: Eukaryota; Metazoa; Chordata; Mammalia; Artiodactyla; Bovidae
Description: lncRNA (ENSCHIG00010026520.1)
Source: RNAcentral
AAUGUGGAAUCCUAACUACUGGAUCACCAGAGAAUAUCCUAUAACUCAUCGAUUUAAAAUGGCAUUAUCAAUAGUAAAGUAUAAAGUCAAAUGAAAGUUUUCUAAACUAUAAAUAACAAACACAAAUUUUGAUAAACUAUGCUAGAAGGAAGAUUGAAUUACCUUUCUAUUCUCUCUAUUGAAAAUUUUUACUUCUUUUGGUGAUCAAAAAGUAUGCACUCAAAAUGAAAAAAAAAAAGUAUUUUAGAGAUAUGUCAGGCUGUUAAUAAAGUAUUAUGCUUUGGGGGGGGUGGUUUGUAAUGUUUUUAUGGUACUUUUUUGAUUAAUCAAGUUUGUAAGUUGUGAUUUUUUUACCAUUGUAAACAAAGAUUGAUUUUUAUACUUAAGUGUGUGUUCUUUUCCUUAUAGAGACAGUGGAAAGUAUACAUAUAAGCUUCAAAUCCCGCAAAAUUGGGAUCCACUCUAAGCAAGCUCACUGCCUGCCUACCCUGCCAUAAUUCCUUGAUUUCUUGGAAACAGCCAUGUCCUACAGCUGUAGAGAAGUCCCGUCAACAUUUACCUUUCAUAAACAGGCAUCCAGUGGGUUCAGUGUCCUUCAGCUUAGUGUACCAGCUAGAGUAGUUGACAACUGUUUAUGAGAAAACUGUCAAGCAGUUCAUGUUCUAGUUAUCACUCAAAAAAAUACCUUUAAAAAAGAAGGGGAAACA